CCCUUAGAUGUUCGGGGCCGCACGCGCGCUACACUGAAGGAAUCAGCACGUCUUUCUCCUUGUCCGAAAGGACUGGGUAACCCGCUGAACCUCCUUCGUGCUAGGGAUUGGGGCUUGUAAUUCUUCCCCAUGAACGAGGAAUUCCCAGUAAGCGCGAGUCAUAAGCUCGCGUUGAUUACAUCCCUGCCCUUUGUACACACCGCCCGUCGCUACUACCGAUUGGAUGGUUUAGUGAGAUCCUCGGAUUGGUCCCGGCGCGGCCUCUGGUCGUGCCGGAGUGCCGAAAAGAAUGUCGAACUUGAUCAUCUAGAGGAAGUAAAAGUCGUAACA
Molecule: ribosomal RNA, 330 nt
Filed under: uncultured eukaryote
Lineage: Eukaryota
Description: partial 18S ribosomal RNA
Rfam family: Eukaryotic small subunit ribosomal RNA
Source: RNAcentral